GGCUGGGUAGUGUAAUGGUAACAUAUCCUCCUUAUUUGGCACUACAUUCUUCUAAAAAUUAAGAGGAAGCCCCUUGUUCGAAUCGAGGCCCAGGCC
This is a non-coding RNA of Mycena crocata, 96 nucleotides long. NCBI's taxonomy places the organism in Eukaryota, Fungi, Basidiomycota, Agaricomycetes, Agaricales, Mycenaceae. The record is from the annotation of a GenBank genome assembly.